This 50-nucleotide transfer RNA is filed under the name Linevichella vortex. Its description in RNAcentral is "tRNA-Ser". The record is from RNAcentral. Lineage: Eukaryota; Metazoa; Arthropoda; Malacostraca; Amphipoda; Micruropodidae.
UAGGUGUAAAAAAGACUUCUAAUCUUUACUUAGCGAUUUGCUACACCUAG